Molecule: ribosomal RNA, 254 nt
Filed under: uncultured bacterium
Lineage: Bacteria
Description: partial 16S ribosomal RNA
Rfam family: Bacterial small subunit ribosomal RNA
Source: RNAcentral
UACGAAGGGGGCUAGCGUUGUUCGGAAUUACUGGGCGUAAAGCGCGCGCAGGCGGCUAUCCAAGUCAGUGGUGAAAGCCCGGAGCUCAACUCCGGAACUGCCAUUGAAACUGUUUAGCUUGAGUAUGAGAGAGGUGAGUGGAAUUCCCAGUGUAGAGGUGAAAUUCGUAGAUAUUGGGAAGAACACCGGUGGCGAAGGCGGCUCACUGGCUCGAUUACUGACGCUCAGGCGCGACAGCGUGGGGAUCAAACAGG